RNAcentral lists this long non-coding RNA (224 nucleotides) under Solanum tuberosum (potato). Its description in RNAcentral is "long non-coding RNA (STUB_LNC006307)". The record is from RNAcentral. Lineage: Eukaryota; Viridiplantae; Streptophyta; Magnoliopsida; Solanales; Solanaceae.
CAUUUUGAUGUUUGCCUAAUCAAGACACAACUUUCGAUGCAAGUGUCUACGAUCGUACAAUAGUUUAGUAAGCCAACCAAGAGUUAGGGUCGAGUCCCAAGGGAGUGGGCGUGAGAAUUAGUGGUUAAGUACGAAAGUGCUAAAGCUAAUCGUAGCUAAAGACUUUGGCGAAUGAAAACAUAACAAAUUAAAAAGGGUGAAGCAAGCGUGAAGUAUCAAAUGGG